This 253-nucleotide ribosomal RNA is filed under the name uncultured bacterium. RNAcentral's name for it is "partial 16S ribosomal RNA". It matches the Rfam family "Bacterial small subunit ribosomal RNA", at positions 524 to 776 of the family's 1533-position model. The record is from RNAcentral.
UACAGAGGCUGCGAGCGUUAUUCGGAUUCACUGGGCGUAAAGGGUGCGCAGGCGGCCAAGUGUGUUAGGCGUGAAAGCCCGGGGCUUAACCCCGGAAUUGCACCUAAAACUACAUGGCUAGAGCAUUGGAGAGGGUAGCAGAAUUCACGGUGUAGCAGUGAAAUGCGUAGAUAUCGUGAGGAAUACCAGAGGCGAAGGCGGCUACCUGGACAAUUGCUGACGCUCAGGCACGAAAGCGUGGGGAGCAAAAGGG